GAUGAAGAACGUAGCGAAAUGCGAUAAGUAAUGUGAAUUGCAGAAUUCAGUGAAUCAUCGAAUCUUUGAACGCACAUUGCGCCCGCCAGCAUUCUGGCGGGCAUGCCUGUUCGAGCGUCAUUUCAACCCUCGACUUCCCUUUGGGGAAAUCGGCGUUGGGGACUGGCAGCAUACCGCCGGCCCCGAAAUGGAGUGGCGGCCCGUCCGCGGCGACCUCUGCGUAGUAAUCCAACCUCGCACCGGAACCCCGACGUGGACACGCCGUAAAACACCCCACUUUCUGAACGUUGACCUCGGAUCAGGUAGGAAUACCCGCUGAACUUAAGCAUAUCAAUAAGCGGAGGA
Molecule: unclassified non-coding RNA, 345 nt
Filed under: soil metagenome
Description: partial contains 5.8S ribosomal RNA, internal transcribed spacer 2, and large subunit ribosomal RNA
Rfam family: 5.8S ribosomal RNA (bases 1-120)
Source: RNAcentral